AGCUUCGAGGUGUUUCACAUCAGAUUGCAAACCUGAAGAAGCAGGCUAAUCCCUGCCGAGGCUU
Molecule: transfer RNA, 64 nt
Filed under: Gambusia atrora
Lineage: Eukaryota; Metazoa; Chordata; Actinopteri; Cyprinodontiformes; Poeciliidae
Description: tRNA-Cys
Source: RNAcentral